Long non-coding RNA from Sapajus apella (tufted capuchin), 113 nucleotides. RefSeq lists it as uncharacterized. The record is from RefSeq and is a predicted model, not a curated record. NCBI's taxonomy places the organism in Eukaryota, Metazoa, Chordata, Mammalia, Primates, Cebidae. The transcript has 3 exons.
UAGAACUGCAGUGUAGGACUUGGGAGGAUGGGAAAGUUAAAUAUUGGUCUCAAGUUUUUUUGCUUUUGCUAUUGUUACCACUUGUCACUGUCUCCACGUUAAAAUGCCAAAAA